RNAcentral lists this ribosomal RNA (207 nucleotides) under uncultured bacterium. RNAcentral's name for it is "partial 16S ribosomal RNA". It matches the Rfam family "Bacterial small subunit ribosomal RNA", at positions 568 to 774 of the family's 1533-position model. The record is from RNAcentral.
CACGUAGGCGGAUAUUUAAGUCAGGGGUGAAAUCCCAGAGCUCAACUCUGGAACUGCCUUUGAUACUGGGUAUCUUGAGUAUGGAAGAGGUAAGUGGAAUUCCGAGUGUAGAGGUGAAAUUCGUAGAUACUCGGAGGAACACCAGUGGCGAAGGCGGCUUACUGGUCCAUUACUGACGCUGAGGUGCGAAAGCGUGGGGAGCAAACA